CUGGGUGGGUGGGUAGAUGGAUAGAUGGAGCCUUUCUGCUCUCUCCAGCUCCACCUGCAGCUCUGUAGUCCAAGGUAAGGCCAGUCAGCACCACAGACAGCACCAUUACCACGGACUUAGCUUUCAUUCACCCCAGGUACCAAGAAAGGGGAGCCUGUUCUGAGUCAGGCCUCCUCUGAAGCCAGGGUUGGGGCUCAGCCGUGGGCUAGAUCUGCAUUUCUGCACUUAUCUGGGGAGAGGAGAGGGUCUGGACUAAAUUACUUCUAACUCGUUCUUAAAGCCUAAGAUUCUAUGAAACCAGAGACCUUGGUCUUAUCCCCUUUGGAGCCACAAGCACAAGACCAACGCCCUUCCUGAGGGUUGGGGUCGCUGCCAUAAGAUCUUUCCUGUUUCAUCUUCAUGAGUCUCUAUGCCUUUCCCCAUCUCCACAGGUCCUCCUAUGGCUCACCCCACUGCCUGGCACUGGCUCCAUGCCUCCUUCUCUGGAAGGAAGCCUCACAGUGCCCCUCACACUGGCCUACAGGAAGGCAAUAACAUCAAACUCAAGAGUCAAGUACCUCCCAAGGUCCGGCUGUGCUCUUGGGACUGUCCGUUCACACUGAUUCAUGCAACUCUGCUUGUGUUAGGUCCUCUGUGAGGCCCUCCUCUCUCUCUGGGCCUUGGUGUCCCCUUCUGUAAAGGGAAGGGUCCUUCUAGAUCCCCCAGGACCUCGGAGCCCUCUCAUUCUCUGUCCAUCAUCCCUUCCCUUCCUUUCGGGUGGACCUCCCUGCCUUCCUCCCUGCCUCCCCCGGCCGACGUCCACCUCUGUCCCAGGCUGCACUCCUGUUCCUCUCCAGGAGUCUUGACGUCUUUUCCCACCUCCGCGUCCUCUCUUCCUCUCAUAGCUUCUCCUCCCACUCUCCAUCUCUCUCCUGCAUACUUCCUGCCCCCACCUACUCCUGUGUCUCCAGCCCACUCCUCCCACAAACCUCCAAAUAGUCACCUUGAGAACACUGGGAGAAAGCACCUAACUCAAGAGAAGCGCCCACAGAAUGGGAAACCCAGGAAGGCAGCUAGAGGGGAAACAGGGGGUGCCAGGCAAGUGUCAUCUACGCCUCUUUUGCUUCCUGCCUCCUGUUCCGGUGGGCAAUAUACACAGCCUCUUAUCUUCCCAGAGGACAGGGCCCUUCAAGAGCACAGGAGAACGUAUCGACCUCUGUGCCUAGCAUGGGUCUGGCACUAGCAAGCACAGCCGCCCAGUCAGGGUGACUGGCAGAACUGCCCCAAAGGAGGCAUCCUGUAGGCUCAGACCAGAGAAGCCCGCUUCAGCUGAGCCUCGGCCCCUGGCCUCAGCCCAGCACCCAAGCUGACUCUAUGCCUCCUCGCAGCCUUACAGCACCCCCAGCCUGCAGAGUCAGAGACAAGAAAGCAGAACAAGGCGGUUCCUCCUCCUUCCUCCCCACACACCCACGCCUGCCACCUGGCCAAGGAGACGCCUCUCAAAGACACUGGUGCCUUGGAUGUGCAAAGAGGAACUGCCUGUGAGUGCGAAGAUCUUGCAGCCCCAGACUUCUCUCAAUGAGGCUGAGCUGGAUCAGGAUGACACUGAUGCUGCUGGUCGGGGGACCACACCUCGAGACCCACUGACACUAUCUUGGAUCCUCCUACAAGCCCAAGAGGUGCCUGUUUGGGUCAUCCCAUUGUACAGGGCCCAGGAAGCCAGAGAACAAACAUCCGGAGUCUCUGGAAUCUCUCCUACUUUCCUUCCUCACAUCCCGAGGAUCUGGGAGCCAGCAUGAGCAUGCACACAGCGUGCGCACACACACACACACACACGCACACACUGGGCUGGGUAAAUAUGUCAGCCUGGGAUAUCUU
Molecule: long non-coding RNA, 1857 nt
Filed under: Homo sapiens (human)
Lineage: Eukaryota; Metazoa; Chordata; Mammalia; Primates; Hominidae
Description: HSALNT0363696
Source: RNAcentral